This is a non-coding RNA of Paramuricea clavata, 860 nucleotides long. NCBI's taxonomy places the organism in Eukaryota, Metazoa, Cnidaria, Anthozoa, Malacalcyonacea, Plexauridae. The record is from the annotation of a GenBank genome assembly.
GACCUUGUCAAGUUCGUUCUCCACAUCAGUUCUGUUCAUAACAAAGGGCGACCUACACUAAUAAAUAUUGCCCAAAUUUUGCACUUUUCGAACUGUUUUGAAUUGAAACGUACUCUAGUUUAUAUUCAUUUACAAUAGCGAACCAGAAAACUGUUAGAUAUUUAGUUAAUAGUAUGUCUUAUUUUACAAAUAUAUAGCAGUCCAAAAUAUAAACAAAGCGUCGAAGGAUUUAUUUACAUUACGCGGACUUGACAUGCAUGGUCUUCAAAAGUUUGAAGUACUAUAGGCGAAGCCGAGUAUCUUUUAUAAGUCUGAUAAAACACGCACUGCGGAUGUAAAUUUUAUGUCUACAAUCUAGAUAAAGCAUGAGCGGCCGUGUUGUAUCAAAUGUACAAACUUGAGCCAAAGACAAGAGGUACGUGUAUGUCUGGGACAACAAUGUCACAACAUGUACGCGAUACUUCGUAUGACUUGUGAUCAAACGUUUGAGAACAUUCUUAUUCUUCAACAAUUUUAAAUAUUCAAUGAAUGAUAUUUGGUGAGAAAAUUUAACUUAAAGUUUAUCUAAAUGAGUUUUUUUAGUACUAUUUAAUACAUGAUCAGCAGUGUUUUAUCAGAUAUAAAAUAGGAGGCGAAGCCGAAUAUCUUUACUCUUUAGGUCUGAUAAUAAAGAAGACAUCGGCACUGUAUUUUAAAUUGCUUCAAAAACGAUCGCUCCAUACUACGGUCAUUGGCGAAGUAAUUUUCAAAAAAUACGUUGUGUAAGUCGAGAAAAUCAAAGUUAAAGUUUAUGUAAAUCAAGGGAAAUCUCUAUCACAUGUAAACGACACGCUUAUGUUAUGAUUUUUCUUUGUGUUUUC